GCGAUGGUGGUAUAGUGAUGAGCAUAGCUGCCUUCCAAGCAGUUGACCCGGGUUCGAUUCCCGGCCAUCGCA
This 72-nucleotide transfer RNA is filed under the name Penaeus chinensis. RNAcentral's name for it is "tRNA-Gly". It matches the Rfam family "tRNA". Rfam says of the family: Transfer RNA (tRNA) molecules are approximately 80 nucleotides in length. Their secondary structure includes four short double-helical elements and three loops (D, anti-codon, and T loops). Further hydrogen bonds mediate the characteristic L-shaped molecular structure. tRNAs have two regions of fundamental functional importance: the anti-codon, which is responsible for specific mRNA codon recognition, and the 3' end, to which the tRNAs corresponding amino acid is attached (by aminoacyl-tRNA synthetases). tRNAs cope with the degeneracy of the genetic code in two manners: having more than one tRNA (with a specific anti-codon) for a particular amino acid; and 'wobble' base-pairing, i.e. permitting non-standard base-pairing at the 3rd anti-codon position. Lineage: Eukaryota; Metazoa; Arthropoda; Malacostraca; Decapoda; Penaeidae. The record is from RNAcentral.